CAGACAGACUAUGUACUACUAAUCCUAGUGUGGCUCUUAGGUUAGAACUCACCCCAAUGCCUCCACCGUAAGCUACACUAAAAUAUUACAUACUCUUCUUUUCUUCAUUUAGAGGACCAUCCUACCUCCACCUCCUCAAAGGAUACUGAUGUGCAACAGAAGGUGUUCAUGGAGAUCGUUAUUGAAGCACCACCAUUCAUAGUAGAGUACCCAGGAGCAAUACUUGGUAACUUUCCCUUGCAUCGUGUGAAGAAAAGAUCUAUUAGACCAUAAGUAAAUCAACAUUUAAACACUAUGUCCUACUGGGUCUGCUCUGUAUUUUAGCUCUUCUUGCUUGACUUAAAUUCCUCCUCAAACUGUUAUACAGGUGAAGGAUGCUUCCCUUUCCACCCCCAUCAUAUGUCUCUAAAAUAAAUACAUGAAUCAACAGAAGAUCAUGAUGUGAAAAACAUAUUAUUAUGCUUCACCCAUUCAUCAUAUGAGGGAAAGUGAUUAUAUAAAAGUCACUUGUAAGCUAAAUGUUUGUAAAUCCUCUUCCCGAGAUAGAAUGUAGAAGGCGCAAAACUAGCAAAGGUGUCUUCCCAUACAGAUGAAGUCUCCCAGUAACAGCCACAUGUGGUCAUCUCUGUCUGACUCAGGUUUCAGGUUCCCAGUCUCUUCCUAGGAAAAGAUCUUUCCCAGGCACAAGGGGAGGUGUCAGCUAGGAAAAGCCUCUGCCUGCAUCCACUGUUUACUAAAACAAAUCAAUGGAAAUUUCUUCUUACACAAGGACAGCUCUUCACAGCCAGUUUUGUAUCUGCUGAGCUCUGCAGUUUCCCUGAAGAACCAACUGCAAAUAUGCUAAGAAAUAUAACUGGGGAGAGAUUUUUACUCUUCCACAUACUUCAACAACUUUUGAAUAGAAAGUGUAAUUCAUGACAUCCUCAUUGCAGAAAAAUUUACCAUCUACCAGGCAGGCCUGGGAACUUAGAAUGAUAAUAUGUAUUAAAAAAAGAAUUUAGGUAUGUUAUGUGCAUGGACCAAA
Molecule: long non-coding RNA, 1024 nt
Organism: Chinchilla lanigera (long-tailed chinchilla)
Lineage: Eukaryota; Metazoa; Chordata; Mammalia; Rodentia; Chinchillidae
Exons: 3
Source: RefSeq, a predicted model, not a curated record